Molecule: long non-coding RNA, 5470 nt
Organism: Ochlerotatus camptorhynchus
Lineage: Eukaryota; Metazoa; Arthropoda; Insecta; Diptera; Culicidae
Exons: 2
Source: RefSeq, a predicted model, not a curated record
AAGAGGACUUCCAAUUUGGAGGACUUGACUUGCAAGACAAGUCCACGGGGACGUCUACAACAAGUUUGGAAGAUUUCCUAGGUUUAUUAAAAUUGUCUUCCCAAGCAAAUCUAGAGACCUUGAAGGCUAGAUUCAGAGUACUUUCCGAGCAAAUCCAGAAAAAAACAUCUGGGCAUUUCCGGAAGAUCUCCAAAACUAGUUCGGAAAUCUCCUAACUCUAGUUCGCGUAGGACUAAUUGCCAGUGCAUUUUGGAGGAUUUCCAGAUCAAACCCCAGAGAAUUUCUAGUUCAAGUUCAGAGGGCCAAAUGCCAAGAUUUGAAGAUUCCUAAGUCAAGCUUUAAGAACUCACACUGGCAAAUACAUUGAACUACAUGUGCAGUUUGCCAGAGAAAGUGCCGAAGACUUCAUAAGGAAGCAGAGAAUUUCUGGAUCCAUUCAAGAGGAGUUCCAAUUUAUAGGACUUUACUUUCAAAACAAGUCCACGGGACGUCGAGUUUGGAAGAUUUCCUUGGAAUAUUCAAAAGGACUUCCCAAGCAAAUCAAGAGGCCUUGUAAGCUAUAUUCAUAGUACUUCCCGACCAAAUCCAAGGGCAUUUUCGGAAGGCCUCCAAAACUAGUUCAGUAAACUCCUAACUCUGGUUCAAUAGUCCUCAGCGAAUUGCCAGUGAAUUUUGGAGGAUUUCCUAAACAUACCCAAGAGAAUUUCUAGUUCAAGUUCAGAUUUGGGUCAAGAUAUAAACACUCACACCGGAAAAAACCGAGGAUUACAUAUGCAGCGGAUUUCCGGAGAAAGUCCCGAAGCCUUCAUUAGGAAGCAGAGAGAUUAUGGAUCCAGUUUAGAGGGCUUGGUCGUCAAGACAAGUCCACGGGAUGUCUACAACAAGUUUGGAAGAUUUCCUAGGUAUAUUCAAAAAGACUUCCCAAGCCAAUCUAGAGGCCUACAAUUGUAGGCUAUAUUCAGAGUACUUUCCGAUCAAAUCCAGUAAAACUUCUGGGCAUUUCCGGAAGACUCCCAAAACUAGUUCGCUGAGGACUAAUUGCCAGUGCAUUUUGGAGGAUUUCCAGAACAAAGCCCAGAGAAUUUCUAGUUCGAGUUCAGAGGACAUUUGGGUCAAGAUUUGAAGACUUCCAGGUCAAGUUCUAAGAACUUGCAUCGUAAAAUACAGAGGAUCACAUAUGCAGGGGAUUUCCGGAGAAAGUCCAGUUUAUGAAUCAAGUUUAGACGACUUGACUGUCAGAACAAGUCCAAGGACUUCCCAAGCCAGUCUACACGGCCAAUCAGAAUGACUCAGCGACUGAAUUCAAUUGCUCAUAUUUAGGAAACCCUGCAGUUACUCAUUAGCUAUGAGUUCCUGUAGGUUUUCCCAAAUAUGAGUAAAUUUCGUAUGGAAAUUAGAUGAUCUGCGCCAAUUUAAUUCAGUCGCUGAGUCGUUCUGAUUGGCCGUGUAGAGGCCUUGUGGGUUAUAUUCAGAGUACUUUCCGGUCACAUCCAGAAAAACUUCUGGGCAUUGCCCGAAGACUCCCAAAACUAGUUUGGAAAUCUUCUAACUUUGGUUUGCUAAGAACUAUUUGCCAAUGCAUUUUGGAGGAUUUCCAGUGUCGUGAACGACGCCAGCUGAAUCCUUCCACGAUCAACACGAACGUAGAAAAGAUACGUCCAAUCGCACAAAGUAGAUCCAACAGAACCAUGAGUUAUUGGCGUUGACGAGAGCUCUGUAGCCCUUCACUUCUAUGGGGACAUUGCAUAUGUAACUGUCACUGUGAAAUAUGGUGGACUUUUUCUUAUUCUCCACCACAAAAUCCUAUAAGGAACUGCCAAAAUUUGUGUGAAGAAACGUCACUUCGGCACCGUCGUCAUGACGAAUUUCAUUUUCCACAGUUCAGUUGACUCGAUCAUAACUCACUUUCUUUAUAACACGAACCUAAAGCUGGGCUUAGACUAGGCAAGUCAAAUGAUCAACUCAGUUGAAUUCAAUUGGCUUGAGAAGUUGAGCCAGGUUCAACUUUUUUCAAUUCAAGUGAGUUGAUCAAGUCCAACUGACUUGAUCAACUGGCAUGCUGUCUAAACCCAGCUUAAGAGGAAGAGGAGACAAUACGGGGACGAAAACGAACCACUUUUCUGUCCAACGCGAACCAGCUCGUGAUUGGCCGAUUUGAAGUGCGUAAGAUAGAGAUAGAGAAAUAGAUAGAGAUAAAAGAGUAAGUAGCCAGUUGUCUCCUGUUCCUCUUAAGCUGGGUUUAGACAGGGCAAGUCAAUUGAUCAAGUCAGUUGAAUUCAACUUACUUGAACGUGAAUUGAACGUGUAAACCAUGCCAUUCAACUGACUUGAUCAACUCACUUGAAUUGAAAAAAAAUUGAACCAGGCUCAACUUUUCAAGCCAAUUGAAUUCAACUGAGUUGAUCAUUUGACUUGCCUAGUCUAAACCCAGCUAUAGGGUUUUAUGAUCCCGCCCACACAAGCUGCUUCUCGUUUUCUCCGUUAUCUUCGUGCAUUUCGUUAAGCGUCAAAUAUCGAAAUAUUUCAAUGUCUACUUCCGACACAGCAAUUUGUCGACUUUGUACUUCAAACCAAAGCUAAUAAACUUUCCUAAAUCUUAACCUUAUCGACUGCAUCCAGAACCAAGCCCAGAAAAUGUCUUAUUCAAGUUCAGAGGACAUUUGGAUCAAAAUUUGAAGAUUUACAGGUCAAGCUCUAAGAACUCACACGGGAUCAUACAGAGAAGACUUUCUCAGAAUGCUUGGACAAGGUAAACGGCAAUUCUAAAAAGAAAUCUAAGUCUUUUCAGAGGAGUUCCAGGACAAGGCCAGAAGACUUUUACGUUCAGGCAACUUUGAUUUUAAGAGUAACAGCAACCUUUAAAAUUCUUAUGAUCAGACAAUUCACUCAGUUGUUUCGGAAACAAUUUAUCGAAAGCUUGCCCAAUCAAACUACACCCCAGUCUCAAAUGGAAAUCAAACACCUAAUCAAUACUAUUUCUACAGUACGUCCUAAGCUACCCCCUAAACAUAACCUAUCAACACUCCUCAAUAGACGAACUAAACUCAAUCCGUUUUAACACAAACAACCGUAAAAGAAAUAACCAGAAAUAACUGUAUAAUUUGAGUGCCAAGCUACACACAAACACACAGAAACACACACAUACAGACACACACAUACAUUCGAGAAAAGAAACAUGCAAUAUUGACAAACAGAUUUUUUUCUACCGAAGUCCAACCCAAUCGAGAACACACACAAACAAUAGAAAAACCGGGAGCAGAAUAAGAGGCUUAAGGAAUUUCUCAGAGCGAAGGAACAAUUGAAAACUACGCUGAACAUAACGGAAGUAAACAGAAACCAAUACAAGCGCAAACGUCUUGUAUGAAUCAACCAUUUGAUCACGCAAGAGAAACAGACAGAUGGACAAAGUGUGAAAGACGACACCUUGUAGCAAAAAAAGAAGAAGAAGAAGAAGCAUAAAAAGUAUAUUAUUAUUGAUAAAUAAUAUUAAUGAACAGAAUAAUGAUAAGAAAAUAAGAAAACACACACACACACUGUAGUGCCUGUUCCCAAAAAAUUCAAAGAUAUAAACAUUAAAUAAAAGAAAAAGAAGAGAUACAGAUGGAAGCGAAAGAGAAGCGGUGAGUGCAGUGACACUCACACAUGGAGAAAAAAAAACAAAAGGAAAAGAAAACAGCGGAUCAGAAUCGAUUGAUGGCGGAUUUCGCGUGGCGAAUGAGAGACAGAUAGGAAGAGAAAAAUGAGCAAACAAGAAAGCGAUUGUUGGCUUUCGUAGUUUUAUUACGUUUACGAACAAGAAGAAGAAGAAGCAGAAAACGUUUCUCCUCGAUUUUCCGUUUUCCUUCGAUUAGUGGUUUAAGUUUUUGUGCGCUAAAGUAGCUGUAGUAGUGUUGGAAAGCGAGAGGCGAUUUACAUAUGCUUAGUUCUUAUUGCCUUAGUUUAUUCGUUCUUUAAGUAACAUCAACGGUAGGAAGUUGAAUGGAACAAGCAAGUGAAGAGGAAGAUUUACAAAAUACUUUUAGAUUUAUUGUCGUACCAUUUAAGGGAAGUUCUACAUGAAAAGCUAUUAGGCAGACAGAAAAUUGAUGCAACAUUAGUUUCUAGUGAGACGCAAAAUAAUGAUAUCUUUUUUCCGUUUAUAUUUUUUGUCGAAAGAUUCUGGUGGAAAGCCAGACUACCAGCCGCCGGUCAUUCGUAGCGCGGAACGAAUGUGGAAACAAAACAAAAUAACACACACACACACACACAUACUUGUAGUAGGAAGCAUCGCUUUUGUUACUUUAAGCAUAUUUAAUCCGAAUUAAGACGCGAGCGGAAAGAAGUGAAAUCGAUUUUACUUAGUAUCAUAAAAAAUAUAAAAUUACAAAAAAGCAUCGUUUUGAUGGAAAAGUGUAGAUAAAGUGCAAAAAAAAAACAAAACAAAAUAAUGAAUAAUAUAUUUUUCAAAACCCGAUAGAACAGAAAGCGAAACAAAAACAAAAUAAGUUGAUUUGUUCAUACUUUUCUGAUUUUUACUAUCACACACACACAUACAUUGAAAUAGAAAACAGGAGAAAAAAGUGCAGAACUAAACAAGCAAAAACAAAACAAAACAAAAAACAAUUGAAAUUGAUGUUAUGUUGAAGUUUUUCUCUUAAAAGUAAGGUCAAGUUAAGCGAAACAAUACAAAACUGGAUUAUUUACAGAAGUUCUUAUUAUUGAUUUAUUUACACCGCAGAUAGAGCCAGAGAACGAGCGAAAACGAAAAGAAAAAAAAAUAGACAAAACGCACACCGCGCACAGAGCGAGUGGCGUUACUUGUUAGCUCCCUUUGCGCGAGUGUGCGUGAAAAACCCACAUGAACCAACCUCCUCCCUCAACAGCAACAGCAAUUACAUACAAACACAUACACACACACAUAGAUCACACAAGCAAACAGAGAAAAGAACCGAGAAUUGAACGCAGACUAACAUAUAAAUAUUCAUAUAGCGCAGCAGCUGGGCUGAGAACGUAACGUCAGUUUCAAUUAGUUUUCUUAGAAACAGAAGGAGUCAAAGCGACUACCGCAUGGCAGAUGAGUUUUGGGUUUCAAGCAUGUCCAUUUGAGUUGCAGUUGAUUUUCUGUUUUCCUCUACGGGAAAAGUAGAAACUUUUCGGGACAAUUAAAAAAAAAUGAAGAAAAAAUAUAACCUUAAACACUUAGAAAUGACCAAAAUUGACUUCCACACUGCUUUGAAGCGAUAUGAAAAAAACAUAAAUAAAGAGAAAUAAAAUUAUGAGAAACUUUUAGCUGCCUUUAGACCCAAAAUCUUGAAUGAUGAUAACACUCUUAAACACUCACAUGAGUUGACAUAAUUUUCUCUUUAAUUAAGAAAUCCGAGAACAAAAAAAAACGGAAUAUUAAAGCACAUCGGAGUAACCAAACUUAAUGGACAUGUUAAACAGAAGAAUAAGCAGAAGCAAAAAUAAACCGACACUCACACUCACACAA